UGAAGUUGCUUCCUGAGCAAGUUCUGCUAUCAUUUCUUCAUACGCCUCAUCUAUUUCUGGUUGUGAUUCUGCUAGGCCAAAGUUCCUUCUUUCUGCGAGGAUCCAAUCUCGAAAAAGCACUGAUUUUUCCAAGCUGUCUCGCAUCGACGCUCUAUGAUCACCUAUUUGUAGUUUUCCUUGACUAAAAGCGCUCUCCGAUGCAACAGU
RNAcentral lists this long non-coding RNA (207 nucleotides) under Nicotiana benthamiana. RNAcentral describes it as "long non-coding RNA (NBEN_LNC008329)". Lineage: Eukaryota; Viridiplantae; Streptophyta; Magnoliopsida; Solanales; Solanaceae. The record is from RNAcentral.